UAGCGCCCUUCAUCACCGAACUUGGUUACUGUUUAGGUCCUAAGCAGUAUUGCUGCAUUUUAAAUGCAAAAUUCAAAAUAUGGAGCGCAGCCCCUGUUUUAAAGUCUGUCUACUAGAAGUUGAGGUAUUGUCGCUGAAGAAUGUUUCGCAGUAUACCUACAUUUCACAGAAAAAUCCUUUGCUAAUGUUUCAUUCUUCAACUCUACAAUGUAACAGAGGAUGAAGUCAUUGAUGAUCAACAUGGUAGGACAUUAGUACACUCCAGCUGGAAUAAUAUUAUAACUACAGAAAUCUGGUAAUUGUUUGAUGAAGACUGAAGCUUUUGAUGUUCCUCCAGAUUCAAAGAAUAUUUAUGAUGAGAAAUUGCAUGUAAGAGUGGGAGGGAAUCUCCUCAUUAUUGAUAAAUGCUUAAAAGAUUCCAAUGGCAUAUAUUAAGUCAGAAAAUUUUCUUUUAAUGUUCUUAGUUCCAUUUCUACUUUUGAACCAAAAUGCACAGAUAUUUCAGUAAAAAGUCCACCCGCUUUAUCUAAUCUUUGUCGCAUAGAUUAACCCAAAAAAUGUCUACUUACAUCAGUUUUUUGUUAUUCUAAAUCCUGAAAGAAUUGUAACUUAAACAAGAUUAUUUGCUUAACUCUAAUCCUAAGUCAUGAAAUGUUGUCUUGUUAAAGCCUUUUGCAGAAAAUCCUAUGUAUCAUGCCAUUCAGUAUACGUAAGCUGUUACUUAGAGGUACGUAACAUUUUAUGUUUAAAAGAUAUAGAAUGCAAGAAAGCGUAUCAUUGCAUAUUGUGUGAUCUGUUUAGAACAUUGGUGUAUUUGUCAGAAUGGGCUGGGAGUUGAGGGAAAUGCCGAGAGGUUUUGACUUUAUUGGUUUUCAGUUUCCUCAGCAUGAUUAGAAUGGAAGAAAUGUUUCAUCUUUGCUUAUAAAGUAACUCUUUGGAGAACUUUUAUAAGUUCUGUUCUGACCAGUAUACAUUAUUUGAAUGCCUGUUUACCUCUCAUAAUAUUGUAAGAAUAAAGUUCUUCAUUGCAUAAAUACUCAGAAAAUUUAUCACAAAAGGAGACUCUCACAAAGUGAACAGUCUCCUAUUGUCAAGUAAAUGUGACAGGUGCGUUACACCAGAAUAAGAUCUCAUGCUUUUCCAAUUCAUCAUUGUUCUAAUAAGAAUAUUUUUUAGUUUGACCAAAACUAUAAAUAGCACAUCAGAAGAGACUGAAAAUACCUGUUGAAGAGGCUUCAGUCUAAUUGGUUCACUGGUGCUCAAUGGCAUUUUUAGGUUAAUAGAUAAAUACAUUUUUAAUGCUCAAGAGAUUAAAAUUGCAUUUAUUUAUCAUGUUGCUGUUUUAUUAAUGAAUUGGUAGUGUUGUGUAUAUCACUGAUGAAUUGUGUAUACUUAACAUGUAUGAACAAGGUGAGCAGAACAUUUAUAAUUUUUAUAUAUUCAUAAUGGCAUUGGUUGUAAGAGUUCUGUUUUACUAUGAUUAUCUGUACAUAUCACAAAAUUCGUGAAAAGUGAUGUAUAAACAUGACAUGACGAAAAAGAUUAUUAUCCAAAAGAUCUUCAGAGAAAAAUAAAGAUUAUUGUAACUUGAGCAGCUAUCAGAGUUAUAGGGUUCCACAGAGAUUGCCUUAUAAAAUUUGGCCUCUUUUUGAAAGUGAGUUAUGUAUUAAAAAAAACCCAAUGGUCAGAAAAAUUUUUUGCAUCAUAAAUAUAGUUUCUUUCAAGAAUAUAAGUAUCCAUAUAGAGAGAUGACCUUUUAAUUAACAUAGUAAUUGGUCUUUUAGGGAAAGAAUUUCUCCAUUUGAUAAUUCUGUGUUCCUGUCUUCCACAACAUUGAACUUUCAGAGUGCGCCUUUACAUUUCUUUUAAGGUAGCCUUGGAAAUGUAUGCUGCUUCUUAUAUAAAUCCUAAUAUUGAGUUCAUUUUGUUAGCCCAAUUUAUCCUUUUUGAUAUAAACAGUGUGCUGCAACUACACUUGUUUUAAGCAGUUUUCAGUAUCUGUUCCCCAUAUCCACUGUCCAGUCUUUUUUGUCGCAGACAUAGGACGUGUUGUAAUAUGUGUAUAUUAUAUAUAUAACUGUGUGUGAGGAAAAAACCAUUGUUUUAAAAAUACGUAUACGUAGUAUUCCCUGCCAACGUGGUGUCAAAAGGAAGUCGUACAUAACUGUUUCCACCCAGCUCUUGGUGAGGAAUUAAGAAUGUGUCAGGUUCUGGCAGUUGUUUCAUUGGAACGAUCAUUUUAGAAUUGUUCUCCAAUAAGGAUGGUUUCACCAGUGGUUUUCUUUUUCCCCUCUGGCAGGAGAGUUGACGUCUGUCACGCUGGGCCUGCCUCCUAGAGUCAG
Molecule: long non-coding RNA, 2342 nt
Organism: Macrobrachium nipponense
Lineage: Eukaryota; Metazoa; Arthropoda; Malacostraca; Decapoda; Palaemonidae
Exons: 4
Source: RefSeq, a predicted model, not a curated record